GUUUGAUCCUGGCUCAGAUUGAACGCUGGCGGCAGGCCUAACACAUGCAAGUCGAGCGGUAGCACAGAGAGCUUGCUCUCGGGUGACGAGCGGCGGACGGGUGAGUAAUGUCUGGGAAACUGCCUGAUGGAGGGGGAUAACUACUGGAAACGGUAGCUAAUACCGCAUAACGUCGCAAGACCAAAGUGGGGGACCUUCGGGCCUCAUGCCAUCAGAUGUGCCCAGAUGGGAUUAGCUAGUAGGUGGGGUAAUGGCUCACCUAGGCGACGAUCCCUAGCUGGUCUGAGAGGAUGACCAGCCACACUGGAACUGAGACACGGUCCAGACUCCUACGGGAGGCAGCAGUGGGGAAUAUUGCACAAUGGGCGCAAGCCUGAUGCAGCCAUGCCGCGUGUAUGAAGAAGGCCUUCGGGUUGUAAAGUACUUUCAGCGAGGAGGAAGGCAUUAAGGUUAAUAACCUUGGUGAUUGACGUUACUCGCAGAAGAAGCACCGGCUAACUCCGUGCCAGCAGCCGCGGUAAUACGGNGGGUGCAAGCGUUAAUCGGAAUUACUGGGCGUAAAGCGCACGCAGGCGGUCUGUCAAGUCGGAUGUGAAAUCCCCGGGCUCAACCUGGGAACUGCAUUCGAAACUGGCAGGCUAGAGUCUUGUAGAGGGGGGUAGAAUUCCAGGUGUAGCGGUGAAAUGCGUAGAGAUCUGGAGGAAUACCGGUGGCGAAGGCGGCCCCCUGGACAAAGACUGACGCUCAGGUGCGAAAGCGUGGGGAGCAAACAGGAUUAGAUACCCUGGUAGUCCACGCCGUAAACGAUGUCGACUUGGAGGUUGUGCCCUUGAGGCGUGGCUUCCGGAGCUAACGCGUUAAGUCGACCGCCUGGGGAGUACGGCCGCAAGGUUAAAACUCAAAUGAAUUGACGGGGGCCCGCACAAGCGGUGGAGCAUGUGGUUUAAUUCGAUGCAACGCGAAGAACCUUACCUACUCUUGACAUCCAGAGAACUUAGCAGAGAUGCUUUGGUGCCUUCGGGAACUCUGAGACAGGUGCUGCAUGGCUGUCGUCAGCUCGUGUUGUGAAAUGUUGGGUUAAGUCCCNCAACGAGCNCANCCCUUAUCCUUUGUUNCCAGCGNUCCGGCCGGGAACUCAAAGGAGACUNCNNGUGAUAAACUGGAGGAAGGUGGGGAUGACGUCAAGUCAUCAUGGCCCUUACGAGUAGGGCUACACACGUGCUACAAUGGCAUAUACAAAGAGAAGCGACCUCGCGAGAGCAAGCGGACCUCAUAAAGUAUGUCGUAGUCCGGAUU
Molecule: ribosomal RNA, 1296 nt
Filed under: Enterobacter sp.
Lineage: Bacteria; Pseudomonadati; Pseudomonadota; Gammaproteobacteria; Enterobacterales; Enterobacteriaceae
Description: bacterial SSU rRNA
Rfam family: Bacterial small subunit ribosomal RNA
Source: RNAcentral